UACGUAGGGUGCAAGCGUUGUCCGGAAUUAUUGGGCGUAAAGAGCUCGUAGGCGGUUUGUUGCGUCGGCUGUGAAACUCCCGAGGCUCAACCUCGGGUCUGCAGUCGAUACGAGCAAACUAGAGUGUUGCAGGGGAGACUGGAAUUCCUGGUGUAGCGGUGAAAUGCGCAGAGUAUCAGGAGGAACACCGGUGGCGAAGGCGGGUCUC
This 208-nucleotide ribosomal RNA is filed under the name uncultured bacterium. RNAcentral's name for it is "partial 16S ribosomal RNA". It matches the Rfam family "Bacterial small subunit ribosomal RNA", at positions 524 to 729 of the family's 1533-position model. The record is from RNAcentral.